RNAcentral lists this ribosomal RNA (200 nucleotides) under uncultured bacterium. RNAcentral's name for it is "partial 16S ribosomal RNA". It matches the Rfam family "Bacterial small subunit ribosomal RNA", at positions 32 to 224 of the family's 1533-position model. The record is from RNAcentral.
AAUCAACGCUGGCGGCGUGCCUCAGACAUGCAAGUCGAACGAUCAAAGCUCCCUUCGGGGAGUGCAUAAAGUGGCGCACGGGUGAGUAACACGUAAGUAAUCUACCCUCGGGUGGGGAAUAACAUCGGGAAACCGAUGCUAAUACCGCAUAAUGCAGCGGCACCGCAAGGUGACAGUUGUUAAAGAUUUAUUGCCUGGGG